AUUGAACGCUGGCGGCAGGCCUAACACAUGCAAGUCGAGCGGAGCGGCGGACGGGUGCGUAAUGCCUAGGAAUCUGCCUGGUAGCGGGGGCUAACGUCCGGAAACGGGCGCUAAUACCGCAUACUAUCAGAUGAGCCUAGGUCGGAUUAGCUAGUUGGUGGGGUAAAGGCCUACCAAGGCGACGAUCCGGAACUGGUCUGAGAGGAUGAUCAGUCACGCUGGAACGAGGACACGGUCCAGACUCCAACGGAGGGCAGCAGUGGGGAGUAUUGGACAAUGGGCGAAGUCCGGAGCCAGCCAUGCCGCGUGUGUAAGGAAGGUCUUCGGAUUGUAAGGCACUUUAAGUUGGGAGGCGUUACCAACAGAAUAAGCACCGGCUAACUUCGUGCCAGCAGCCGCGGUAAUAC
Molecule: ribosomal RNA, 407 nt
Filed under: uncultured bacterium
Lineage: Bacteria
Description: partial 16S ribosomal RNA
Rfam family: Bacterial small subunit ribosomal RNA
Source: RNAcentral